Acanthopagrus latus (yellowfin seabream) is the source of this 744-nucleotide long non-coding RNA. RefSeq lists it as uncharacterized. NCBI's taxonomy places the organism in Eukaryota, Metazoa, Chordata, Actinopteri, Spariformes, Sparidae. The record is from RefSeq and is a predicted model, not a curated record. The transcript has 3 exons.
CCUGCAGAGAGACGUCAGUGAUGAACAGCUGGUCUGUGAUGUUCUUCAUCAUUUACUGCUGCAGCUGGUCGUCAUUAGAUAAAUGCAGCUGAAGUCACACAGUCGAAUCCUGACCCAGCAGCGUCAGUCUGACCCGGUUCGCUCCUUUCGUUAAUUAUUUAUUAUCUAUUCCUAAUUCAUAUUUUUACUGAAAAAUCUGCAUUUUCUCUCACUAGCCUCCAGGUGAUGUGACCCAGUGACGUCAGAACAAAGACGACCUGAGGUUUGCUUCCAUCGAUUCAAACAGUAGAAGCAGAAUCGAUCACAUGACCUUGAGGCUUCUGAGAAACACUUCCACCUUCUUUACUCAUACACAAUCCAUAGGUUCGAGGAGACAGGGUUAAUAAGCUGAAACCCUACAACGGUCACAUUUUACCCACCGGACCUGCAGCGGGCCUGUGAUAACUGACUGCUGACGCUUUGACAACGAUGAACGAGCCAACACGUGAAGUGACAAAUACAAGUUGAAGUUACCCUAAACUCGGCCGACCGGAACCGGAAACGAUGCUCUUCUUCUUCUACGGUUCAUCUGCCCGUGUCAGUCUAACAAGAGAUAAGCACUGCGCUUCCCGCUGGACCGGAGGACAGUGACGUGUCAGGAAAUUAAAGACACUUUAUUGUAGCUUACAAAUGACGUCACGUGUUUGUUAAUAACUCCAACACUGAUUCUUCUUGAUGUAAAUAUACUUAUGGAUCUGGAAUCGA